AAUAGAGAUCCCGUACAGUAACAGUCUUGUUCAGAUUCAGAAUUAUGGAACUGAUAUACAGUUUUCAAGUCGUAGACGUAUUCUGACUUUGACUUGGAACAAAGAUGAUGCAUUAUGGCUGAAUCUUCUGAAAGAUUAUCCAACACGUGGGAUUUGUGGGAACAAGAAUGCUUCUUCAGACGUUGAAAUCAAUGAACUGAUUGCCAGGAGCACACUUAGUGACCAGGGAAUAUAUUGUACUACUCCAGUUCAGCUUAAUGCAUCAUGUGAUAUUGAUAA
Molecule: long non-coding RNA, 279 nt
Organism: Protopterus annectens (West African lungfish)
Lineage: Eukaryota; Metazoa; Chordata; Ceratodontiformes; Protopteridae
Exons: 3
Source: RefSeq, a predicted model, not a curated record